GAUGAACGCUGGCGGCGUGCCUAAUACAUGCAAGUCGAGCGAACGGACGAGAAGCUUGCUUCUCUGAUGUUAGCGGCGGACGGGUGAGUAAAACGUGGAUAACCUACCUAUAAGACUGGGAUAACUUCGGGAAACCGGAGCUAAUACCGGAUAAUAUUUUGAACCGCAUGGUUCAAAAGUGAAUGACGGUUUUGCUGUCACUUUUAGACGGUUUCGCGCUGCAUUAGCUAGUUGGUAAGGUAACGGCUUACCAAGGCAACGAUGCAUAGCCGACCUGAGAGGGUGAUCGGCCACACUGGAACUGAGACACGGUCCAGACUCCUACGGGAGGCAGCAGUAGGGAAUCUUCCGCAAUGGGCGAAAGCCUGACGGAGCAACGCCGCGUGAGUGAUGAAGGUCUUCGGAUCGUAAAACUCUGUUAUUAGGGAAGAACAUAUGUGUAAGUAACUGUGCACAUCUUGACGGUACCUAAUCAGAAAGCCACGGCUAACUACGUG
This 497-nucleotide ribosomal RNA is filed under the name uncultured bacterium. RNAcentral describes it as "partial 16S ribosomal RNA". It matches the Rfam family "Bacterial small subunit ribosomal RNA", at positions 28 to 507 of the family's 1533-position model. The record is from RNAcentral.